CCUGAAAGGAUGGAUUCUGUUAGUACAAAUGUUAUAAACAUCUGCAACAUUUAAAUCAUGUUUAAGUACAGCAUCAUUUACUAACCAUUUUCUGGAUAUCUUUGAAGGAAAACAAACACCUGGAAAAAAGCCCUCAGUGCUUUGGAGGGAUAUUUCUGAAAUGCUCAUUGGCAUCAUGUAAAAUCAGCCAGGCCUCAACUUCUUUGAAGUGAGAAGAAAUGUUUUUUAAUGCAUUUGACUGUGUUAAUUAAGCAAAAGGACAAAACAAAAGCAGAAGGAUAGACAUCAGACAGAGAGAAGAACUGAAGGAAGAAUUAAGAGGAAACCCUAACUUUCUAAAAUGAGUCAGUGAAUCAAGGGGAUUAAUUAUAAAUCCAGAAGGAGUUUCUGAACAUACUGACUUUCAGACAGAACACAUCAAAUUAGAAGUACAAUGGAAAAGCCUAAGCAGCAGAGAUAUGACAGACCUCAGAGGCAUUACUUGGUAUUUACACUGUGGAGAAGGAUCUAUAAAGUUUCUAAGCUACAUUAAGAAAAAAUGACUUCAAAAUUGGACCAGAGAGAUAACACCACUUAUGAUCCUCUUGCUUGGAAUGAGAGCAAUGCAGUACAUUCGAACAACACACUGAGUUACUAUUGACCCAUCUGGGACAAUCCUGACUACUGAAGAAAUGGGAGAUGAUCAUACGAAGUAUAUUUUCUGGAAAUGAUAUAAGCCAGGAAAUUCUCUUUUUUUGACAGAGGUUUGGAAUAUGUCUGUCUAAUUCACUCUCUGAUUCUUUUUGUAUCUGUCACAACCUCAGUGGUGGGAAAAUUCUAGAUUUUUCAUCCAAGGAAUAUUUCCUGUGCUGUGCCCUCAGACAUCUUUCAUGGCAUGGCAGAAAACCCAUACGUACUCAUUUUUAAGUAGAAUUUAUAUUAAUGAACUUGUGUCACCUGUGUGUCUUGGCUCCUUCUACAGCCAAUGCAGAGAUGUAAUUCACUGGUUGUAUUCUGCAGUGGGAAGCUACUCAGUGCAAUCAAUACACACAAAUGUGGCACAGUUUUCAUCUCAGAAACAAAUGAUUGAUGUAACAUUUUCAGGGCCAUUCAGAAGCAGCAUACAAUGACCAGGAAGAGUUUUUCUUUUCCUGGGAGUACACAUAAGUGAAAGCUUAUGUGAGCCAUCCUCCUGGACACCUAUCCACUGACGGUGCCUUCAUUUGUUCCAAAAAGUAUUCAAAUUGACAUCUAGUCAGCACAGAUCACAAGGAGUAACCCUCAGGUUGCAGCAAAUAGCAGUGUACAAAACCCAU
This 1295-nucleotide long non-coding RNA is filed under the name Gallus gallus (chicken). RNAcentral describes it as "lncRNA (ENSGALG00010018731.1)". Lineage: Eukaryota; Metazoa; Chordata; Aves; Galliformes; Phasianidae. The record is from RNAcentral.